GAGCUUGCUCUGGCGGAUCAGUGGCGAACGGGUGAGUAACACGUGAGUAACCUGCCCCCGACUCUGGGAUAACUGCUAGAAAUGGUAGCUAAUACCGGAUAUGACGAUUGGCCGCAUGGUCUGGUCGUGGAAAGAAUUUCGGUUGGGGAUGGACUCGCGGCCUAUCAGGUUGUUGGUGAGGUAAUGGCUCACCAAGCCUACGACGGGUAGCCGGCCUGAGAGGGUGACCGGCCACACUGGGACUGAGACACGGCCCAGACUCCUACGGGAGGCAGCAGUGGGGAAUAUUGCACAAUGGGCGAAAGCCUGAUGCAGCAACGCCGCGUGAGGGAUGACGGCCUUCGGGUUGUAAACCUCUUUUAGUAGGGAAGAAGCGAAAGUGACGGUACCUGCAGAAAAAGCACCGGCUAACUACGUGCCAGCAGCCGCGGUAAUACGUAGGGUGCAAGCGUUGUCCGGAAUUAUUGGGCGUAAAGAGCUCGUAGGCGGUUUGUCGCGUCUGCUGUGAAAUCCCGAGGCUCAACCUCGGGUCUGCAGUGGGUACGGGCAGACUAGAGUGCGGUAGGGGAGAUUGGAAUUCCUGGUGUAGCGGUGGAAUGCGCAGAUAUCAGGAGGAACACCGAUGGCGAAGGCAGAUCUCUGGGCCGUAACUGACGCUGAGGAGCGAAAGCAUGGGGAGCGAACAGGAUUAGAUACCCUGGUAGUCCAUGCCGUAAACGUUGGGAACUAGAUGUGGGGACCAUUCCACGGUCUCCGUGUCGCAGCUAACGCAUUAAGUUCCCCGCCUGGGGAGUACGGCCGCAAGGCUAAAACUCAAAGGAAUUGACGGGGGCCCGCACAAGCGGCGGAGCAUGCGGAUUAAUUCGAUGCAACGCGAAGAACCUUACCAAGGCUUGACAUAUACCGGAAACAUGCAGAAAUGUGUGCCCCGCAAGGUCGGUAUACAGGUGGUGCAUGGUUGUCGUCAGCUCGUGUCGUGAGAUGUUGGGUUAAGUCCCGCAACGAGCGCAACCCUCGUUCUAUGUUGCCAGCACGUAAUGGUGGGAACUCAUAGGAGACUGCCGGGGUCAACUCGGAGGAAGGUGGGGAUGACGUCAAAUCAUCAUGCCCCUUAUGUCUUGGGCUUCACGCAUGCUACAAUGGCCGGUACAAAGGGCUGCGAUACCGUAAGGUGGAGCGAAUCCCAAAAAGCCGGUCUCAGUUCGGAUUGAGGUCUGCAACUCGACCUCAUGAAGUCGGAGUCGCUAGUAAUCGCAGAUCAGCAACGCUGCGGUGAAUACGUUCCCGGGCCUUGUACACACCGCCCGUCAAGUCAUGAAAGUCGGUAACACCCGAAGCCAGUGGCCUAACCGCAA
This 1355-nucleotide ribosomal RNA is filed under the name Clavibacter michiganensis subsp. michiganensis. RNAcentral's name for it is "16S ribosomal RNA". It matches the Rfam family "Bacterial small subunit ribosomal RNA", at positions 76 to 1444 of the family's 1533-position model. The record is from RNAcentral. Lineage: Bacteria; Bacillati; Actinomycetota; Actinomycetes; Micrococcales; Microbacteriaceae.